CCUACCUCAGCCUUCCAAAGUGUUGGGAUUACAGCACUCUCUGCCCAGUGCCUUUCUCCCCACCUCAGAAUGAAAAGCUAGGGGAACAGGAGGGAGCAUGUGCAGGGAAGCCCCCUCCCAUCAGGCCUGAAGUGCAAGUAGGCCUGUCCCUGUUCCUGCCUCACUCUUCCUGGAAAGCCUGGAUCUCUGCAUCUGAGCACCUUGCUGCCCUGGUCUGUUGCGAGCAUGUCAAGGAGCACUGGCUAGAACUUCCAUCCCUGUGGUGAAUAAGAGUGAUGAAAGUGGACACCAUCGUAUUAUUGAAUUGAAGGGCCUUCAUGGGGCUUUGAAUUCAGCCUCAAACAUUGUGAUAAUCCGAUCCUGACACUUGCCCUCCCCUCAUUCACUCUUUUAACAAUCCCAAGAGAGUGCAGGACUGAGAUCCGAAAAUGUUAUUAUGGAGGGGAAAUAAAGGUUAUUUUGAAUGCUUCAAGGUCACGUGACUUGUAAGUAAGUAUUUGGGGUCUCUAACUGCAUGUCUAUAAACACCCAAAUAACUGCUCUUCCCAACACUAUGUCUCCAACUGCUUUAAACAAUGGAAAUCUUUACAAAAUAAUUCCCAUCUCCAUAUACAAAGAGAUCCAUAACUAUGUAAAUACUG
RNAcentral lists this long non-coding RNA (641 nucleotides) under Homo sapiens (human). Its description in RNAcentral is "HSALNT0318512". The record is from RNAcentral. Lineage: Eukaryota; Metazoa; Chordata; Mammalia; Primates; Hominidae.